RNAcentral lists this unclassified non-coding RNA (288 nucleotides) under Glomerales sp. RNAcentral describes it as "partial contains 5.8S ribosomal RNA and internal transcribed spacer 2". The stretch from base 1 to 65 matches the Rfam family "5.8S ribosomal RNA", at positions 84 to 154 of the family's 154-position model. The record is from RNAcentral. Lineage: Eukaryota; Fungi; Glomeromycota; Glomeromycetes; Glomerales; Glomeraceae.
GUGAAUCAUCAAAUUUUUGAACGCAAAUUGCACUCUCCUCGGAGAGUAUGCCUGUUUGAGGGUCAGCCUAUAAAAAAUCGACAUCGUUGCUGGUUCGCGGUGGCGUUCGUCGGAAAUUGGGUCAUCUUAAAUCCUUUGGGUUUUAAUCGACUUAAAAUUUUCUUUUUAGUUCCAUGAACGUUUCUAAGAUUUAUUUCUUUACACAUUUAAGUUAUCGAUUUUUAUUAGACGUGACCAUCAUAUCGGAUCGCGUCCAUAAUAUUUCAUUAACUGACGUCAUACAUGUAA